Molecule: ribosomal RNA, 269 nt
Filed under: uncultured prokaryote
Description: partial 16S ribosomal RNA
Rfam family: Bacterial small subunit ribosomal RNA
Source: RNAcentral
UACGGAGGAUGCAAGCGUUAUCCGGAUUUAUUGGGUUUAAAGGGUGCGUAGGCGGGAAAUUAAGUCAGUGGUGAAAUCCUACAGCUUAACUGUAGAACUGCCAUUGAAACUGAUUUUCUUGAGUGCAGCUGAGGUGGGCGGAAUGUGUAAUGUAGCGGUGAAAUGCUUAGAUAUUACACAGAACACCAAUUGCGUAGGCAGCUCACUAAACUGUAACUGACGCUAAGGCACGAAAGCGUGGGGAGCGAACAGGAUUAGAUACCCGCGUA